Molecule: ribosomal RNA, 250 nt
Filed under: uncultured bacterium
Lineage: Bacteria
Description: partial 16S ribosomal RNA
Rfam family: Bacterial small subunit ribosomal RNA
Source: RNAcentral
UACGUAGGUGGCAAGCGUUGUCCGGAAUUAUUGGGCGUAAAGCGCGCGCAGGCGGGACUUUAAGUCUACUUUAAAAGUGCGGGGCUCAACCCCGUGAUGGGGUGGAAACUAAAGUUCUUGAGUGUCGGAGAGGAAAGUGGAAUUCCCAGUGUAGCGGUGAAAUGCGUAGAGAUUGGGAGGAACACCAGUGGCGAAGGCGACUUUCUGGACGAUGUCUGACGCUGAGGCGCGAAAGCCAGGGGAGUGAACG